This 3251-nucleotide long non-coding RNA is filed under the name Mus musculus (house mouse). RNAcentral's name for it is "long non-coding RNA chr6:28796462-28799713". Lineage: Eukaryota; Metazoa; Chordata; Mammalia; Rodentia; Muridae. The record is from RNAcentral.
GAUCUAUCUUCCUUGUAGAGUACGCCAGCCAUUCAUCCCGCUCACUGAGCACUGGGAAGAGCAGUGGGGACGCGCCCCGCUCUCACUGAGCACUGGGGCCUACCUGCCUUUGUCCCUUCCUUCCUCCUGUUAACAUCUCUGCAGCUGUAGUGUAUGCACGCAGCUGCACAUUAUGUGCGGCCAGAGGCCUUCUCUCAGGGCUCACUUGAGAUCCUAGAGAGCAGAUGGAAGGGCUCAAGACGUUCCGAGUUGGACAGACAUGGGAUAGGAACAUUAUCAUCUCGUUUCCUUUUCUCAUCAUCUAUUACUUCAGUACUGGGGCUGUGGAAGAGCAGGUCAGCCCUAGAGGCUCCUGUUGGGCUACUCGGGCUCUGAGAAGCCCACUACUUUUCAAACUCAGCAGUACUCUUGCUGUCUGUGGGAUUUCCCUAACACUGGCCUUCUUGUUUUAAUAGAAGAAAUUAAUUUGGCCAAACAAAUCCUGAUUCCUCUAUUGAAGAGGUAUUUGUUCACGUCCCAAAUAUCAACUCCAGUUAGUUACCUGGGUAAAGCUGCUUCUGCCUUGAUGGCCAGCCAGUGGCUGGGGUGUGCAGCACUUAGUCAUCUCAUUGGCUGCACAUUGCUCUCUGCUCUCUCUGUUAAGAUGCACUUAUCCUUGAAAGUGACACACUGACUGCCCCUACACAUAUGCAUGCAUCUUGUAACCACACAAUAUAGCUUGAAUUUUUCUUUUAAAGUUAGCAACAUCCACCCCUCCCCUCCACUAAUGUUUGAAUGCAAACACUCUAUUGUCUACCAACACCUGAAGAUUAGCUGGAAGGGGCAAAUAUUACAGACCUCCCUGCUGCCUUUGUAGACCUUUCAACAUUGUCCUCACAGGAACUGAGAAAGCAGGAGAGCCCGCUCUAGUUUAUGACCUGAGGCACCAGAGAGGAAGUAGCAGAAAAUCCUUUUCUUUCUCUUUUCCUUUUUUUUUUUUUUUUUAAUUUACUUUUAUUUUUUGGUUUGUUUUGAGAUAGGGUCUCACUGUGUAGCCCUGGCUGUCCUGGAAUGCACUAUGUAGACUAGGCUAGCCUCUAAAGAGAUCUGCUUGCCUCUGCCUCCCAAGUGCUGGGAUUAAAGGCGUGUGCCACUAGCCUGGCAUAGCAGCAGAUUCUUGCUGGUUUCUUAUGCUUACAUCAGGGAGGAACCCCUUAGGACACGAGUGAGACAUUGAACUGAAUAUCACGUGUCUCACCUGACUCCUCUUUUUCACCAACAUCGCCUAAAGCAGUGCUUCUCAGCCUUCCUAAUGCUGCGGCCCUUUAAUACAGUUCCUCAUGUUGUGCUGACCCCAACCAUAAAAUUGUUUUUGUUGCUACUUCAUAACUGUAAAUUUUUUACUGUUAAGAGUCAUAAUGUAAAUAUCUGAGUUUUCCCAUGGUCUUGGUAGCCCUCAAAGGGGUCUCAACCCACAAGUUGAGAACUGCUGUCUUAUAGUGACUUUCUCUUUUCUUUUCAACUCUUGUUUCCCCGACUCCUUUUCUUCCUGGCCAUGUUUCUAGCCCCCAGGUGGCAGCUAAAACUUACGGCCAAAUAUUCUUACUGCCUCCUGUUUAUUGUGGCCUUACUCUUAUCUGUGUAUUUUUAAUACUUACUGGCAGGAAAGGUGGCAUUUUUCUCCACUUUCUUUGAUGCCUCUUCCUUAUAAGUUUGCAGAACCUUAGUCUAAUCCAAAGUUGCUAUUUGUCUUUCUUGAUUGUAGUGGCUCAGUCUUUUACAGCCCUUUGUUUAGGGUCUGUCAGUAAUGAACAUUCUGCACUGUUGGAGCACCUGAUAUGAUUACUUGGUCAAACUGAUUUGAAAGGUCAUUAUCCAGAGGAAAUGGGAGUAUGGCCUAAACCACAAAUAAUUUAAGAUGUUGACUAAAAGAGCCAGCUGUAGCCAACUCUCCUGGGCAUUUCCCUUCAUAGAAUAGAUAAAAACUGGUUUCUGAAUGGUAAGACAGUCAAAGGAGGUUUUCAUUUGGCAAGUGUUGUUUAUUUACUAUCCCGUGUAGUAACUUCACCUCCUCCAUAGAGCUUCUUAGAGAACAAAGCUCUUACAUUCCCACACCUCCACAGAAAUAGGCAGGGAGAAGCUCCAUAUGCUGGUGCCCCUGGUUAUUGUAAAAAGGACCAUGUGACUGUAUGGGACGAGCCCCCGGGCCCUGUGUAGCUAGGCCCUGUGGCCCUUCAGGAGCCAUGCUGCUGCUUGAAUAGCUGCACUUGAGCUUUGGUUUUAUGUUUGUUCCUCUUCCUUUGAUAAUCAAGCGUAACUUGGUAUUUUGAAGAUCUGACUGUCCUUGGGCCUGCUCCAUCUCCCCUUUUAAGUUUUUAAACCUUUGUUCUCAUUAUCUCAUUUGAGCCCAUAAUUUCUCUACCUUGGCCUGCUUUCCCCAUAUACUAGAACUUUGUAUUACUAAGGGGCGAGAACAGUUCACAUUUCAAAGUUUUUACUGGAUUCCCAUAAGAAGAAGCGCAGCAUGACCAGAGAAGGAUCUAGAUACUGAGAAAGUACCAUGGUCACUGUUACUAGGCAGUCAAGAAAGAGAUGGGAGCUGGCUCUCAGGAUGCAGACACUAAGAACUACUACUUAUUUUUCCUGGCUUUGGAUAAGCAGGGCACCAAUACCUGUCUCUCCCUCUGCUUUGAGUAAGUAGAAAACUGCUUGCCUUUCCAUCCCAUUGCUACGUAAGGGCAGGCCUGCACGGGGCAGGUGAGGCUUCUCUACAUUUCAGAUGGCCUCCCAUAUUAGGGGACAUGGUUCCCACGCUUGCCUUGUACAUAUACGACUGCCAUAUGUAUCACGGAACUACUGACAUUUGCAGCCACCGUUCAGUCCCAUUUUCCUAAGUGGCUCUCUUGGCCUUUUCAUCACACCACUUCUUUUUCUUGUCUGCUACCUGGUGUUUCCCUUUAAACACUGAUCCCUUUUGGCUUGCUUCUCCUGGAUUUAGUAAUCCUGGUCCUGGGCAGUGGUCUGGCAUGCAGGAGGCAUUGCCAGCCCUAAGGCAGGAAGAGCUAGAAGUCAAAUACCAGGUUAUUACCUGAUUCUCUGACCUGAAGCUCAGGGCAGCCAAGAGCCUUUUGGGGGAUUUAAAUUCUUACCUUUACUCCAAGGAAGUCCAGAGCACUCAACAUCUCUUCCCAGGCUGACCAAAAUGUGCAUGCUAGGGCCGUGCAAAUCUGGCCCUCUGCCAGUUGUUUGCAAAUAAAGUUUUGUUGAAGAAU